Molecule: ribosomal RNA, 780 nt
Filed under: Agrococcus jejuensis
Lineage: Bacteria; Bacillati; Actinomycetota; Actinomycetes; Micrococcales; Microbacteriaceae
Description: bacterial SSU rRNA
Rfam family: Bacterial small subunit ribosomal RNA
Source: RNAcentral
UGCAAGUCGAACGAUGAAGGAGGAGCUUGCUCCUCUGGAUUAGUGGCGAACGGGUGAGUAACACGUGAGCAAUCUGCCCCUGACUCUGGGAUAAGCGCUGGAAACGGCGUCUAAUACCGGAUACGAGCCGAGCAGGCAUCUGCAGCGGCUGGAAAGAACUUCGGUCAGGGAUGAGCUCGCGGCCUAUCAGCUAGUUGGUGAGGUAAUGGCUCACCAAGGCGACGACGGGUAGCCGGCCUGAGAGGGUGACCGGCCACACUGGGACUGAGACACGGCCCAGACUCCUACGGGAGGCAGCAGUGGGGAAUAUUGCACAAUGGGCGAAAGCCUGAUGCAGCAACGCCGCGUGAGGGACGAAGGCCUUCGGGUUGUAAACCUCUUUUAGCAGGGAAGAAGCGAAAGUGACGGUACCUGCAGAAAAAGCACCGGCUAACUACGUGCCAGCAGCCGCGGUAAUACGUAGGGUGCGAGCGUUAUCCGGAAUUAUUGGGCGUAAAGAGCUCGUAGGCGGUCUGUCGCGUCUGCUGUGAAAUCCCGAGGCUCAACCUCGGGCUUGCAGUGGGUACGGGCAGACUAGAGUGCGGUAGGGGAGAUUGGAAUUCCUGGUGUAGCGGUGGAAUGCGCAGAUAUCAGGAGGAACACCGAUGGCGAAGGCAGAUCUCUGGGCCGUUACUGACGCUGAGGAGCGAAAGCGUGGGGAGCAAACAGGCUUAGAUACCCUGGUAGUCCACGCCGUAAACGUUGGGAACUAGAUGUGGGGACCAUUCCACGGUCUCCGUG